AGUGAACGCUGGCGGUAGGCCUAACACAUGCAAGUCGAACGGCAGCACAGUAAGAUCUCGCUCUUACGGGUGGCGAGUGGCGGACGGGUGAGGAAUACAUCGGAAUCUACUUUUUCGUGGGGGAUAACGUAGGGAAACUUACGCUACUACCGCAUACGACCUACGGGUGAAAGCAGUGGAUCUUCGGACCUUGCGCGAUUGAAUGAGACGAUGUCGGAUUAGCUAGUUGGCGAGGUAAAGGCCCACCAAGGCGACGAUCCGUAGCUGGUCUGAGAGGAUGAUCAGCCACACUGGAACUGAGACACGGUCCAGACUCCUACGGGAGGCAGCAGUGGGGAAUAUUGGGCAAUGGGCGAAAGCCUGAUCCAGCCAUACCGCGUGGGUGAAGAAGGCCUUCGGGUUGUAAAGCCCUUUUGUUGGGAAAGAAAAGCAGCAGGUUAAUACCCCGCUGUUCUGACGGUACCCAAAGAAUAAGCACCGGCUAACUACGUG
This 492-nucleotide ribosomal RNA is filed under the name uncultured bacterium. RNAcentral describes it as "partial 16S ribosomal RNA". It matches the Rfam family "Bacterial small subunit ribosomal RNA", at positions 29 to 507 of the family's 1533-position model. The record is from RNAcentral.